This 440-nucleotide ribosomal RNA is filed under the name uncultured bacterium. RNAcentral describes it as "partial 16S ribosomal RNA". It matches the Rfam family "Bacterial small subunit ribosomal RNA", at positions 338 to 795 of the family's 1533-position model. The record is from RNAcentral.
CCUACGGGAGGCAGCAGUAGGGAAUAUUGCUCAAUGGGGGAAACCCUGAAGCAGCAACGCCGCGUGGAGGAUGAAGGUCUUCGGAUUGUAAACCCCUUUUGUUAGAGAAGAUAAUGACGGUACCUAACGAAUAAGCACCGGCUAACUCCGGGCCAGCAGCCGCGGUAAUACGGAGGGGGCAAGCGUUACUCGGAAUAACUGGGCGUAAAGAGCGCGUAGGCGGGAUAGCAAGUCAGAUGUGAAAUCCUAGGGGUUAACCAUAGAACUGCAGUUGAAACUGGUAUUCUAGAGUGUGGGAGAGGAUGGUGGAAUUCUUGGUGUAGCGGUGAAAUGCGUAGAUAUCAAGAGGAAUACCCAUUGCGAAGGCGACCUGCUGGAACGUAACUGACGCUGAGGCGCGAAAGCGUGGGUAGCAAACAGGAUUAGAUACCCUAGUAGUC